RNAcentral lists this ribosomal RNA (395 nucleotides) under Vaejovis franckei. Its description in RNAcentral is "partial 16S ribosomal RNA". It matches the Rfam family "Archaeal large subunit ribosomal RNA", at positions 2045 to 2669 of the family's 2987-position model. The record is from RNAcentral. Lineage: Eukaryota; Metazoa; Arthropoda; Arachnida; Scorpiones; Vaejovidae.
UUUGUCUUUUAAUUUGGGACUAGAAUGAAAGGUUAGACUAUGUAAUUUUGUCUUAUAAUAAUAUUUUGAAUUUCACAUUUUAGUAAAAAGGCUAAAAUUUUCAUUAAAGACGAGAAGACCCUAUCAAGCUUUACAAUUAUAGUUUAAUAUCAAUUUAAAUAAAAAAUUGUUUUGCUGGGGCAGCAAACAAAAAAUUUUUGUUUAUUCAUUAUGAAUUAUAAUUCUUGAAAAAUCAAAUAAUAGUUAAAUAAGAAUAAGUUACUGUAGGGAUAACAGCAUAAUUUUUUUAAAGAGUUCUUAUCAGCAAAAAAGUUUGUGACCUCGAUGUUGGAUUAAAAUACCUGUUUCGUGCAAUAACAAAAUAAGGAAGUCUGUUCGACUUUUAAAAUUUUCCA